RNAcentral lists this ribosomal RNA (631 nucleotides) under uncultured bacterium. Its description in RNAcentral is "bacterial SSU rRNA". It matches the Rfam family "Bacterial small subunit ribosomal RNA", at positions 61 to 662 of the family's 1533-position model. The record is from RNAcentral.
CCCAAUUGAUUGACGGUGCUUGCAUCUGAUUGAUUUUCCUUGCCAACGAGUGGCGGACGGGUGAGUAACACGUAGGUAACCUGCCCAGAAGUGGGGGACAACAUUUGGAAACAGAUGCUAAUACCGCAUAACAGCGUUGUUCGCAUGAACAACGCUUAAAAGAUGGCUUCUCGCUAUCACUUCUGGAUGGACCUGCGGUGCAUUAGCUUGUUGGUGGGGUAACGGCCUACCAAGGCGAUGAUGCAUAGCCGAGUUGAGAGACUGAUCGGCCACAAUGGGACUGAGACACGGCCCAUACUCCUACGGGAGGCAGCAGUAGGGAAUCUUCCACAAUGGGCGCAAGCCUGAUGGAGCAACACCGCGUGAGUGAAGAAGGGUUUCGGCUCGUAAAGCUCUGUUGUUAAAGAAGAACACGUAUGAGAGUAACUGUUCAUACGUUGACGGUAUUUAACCAGAAAGUCACGGCUAACUACGUGCCAGCAGCCGCGGUAAUACGUAGGUGGCAAGCGUUAUCCGGAUUUAUUGGGCGUAAAGAGAGUGCAGGCGGUUUUCUAAGUCUGAUGUGAAAGCCUUCGGCUUAACCGGAGAAGUGCAUCGGAAACUGGAUAACUUGAGUGCAGAAGAGGGUAGU